Drosophila melanogaster (fruit fly) is the source of this 1104-nucleotide non-coding RNA. The record is from Ensembl. NCBI's taxonomy places the organism in Eukaryota, Metazoa, Arthropoda, Insecta, Diptera, Drosophilidae.
ACAGUUGCGUUUCCCACGCGAAGUCGACGGACGCGACGAACUCGCAAUAGUACCAGUAUCAAAACCACUAUAUAAAACAACCAUUAUAAUGGGAAACCAUAUAUCAAAGUAUAUGUUAACCAUGGUUAAAAGAUACUUUUUUCCAACGAGCCGUUUGGUCUAAAAGUUCGAGGUAUACUGCAUGCAUGUAUUUAGCUGUGGCAUGUGGAUACAAUUGUCAGUCGUUCUUAUCUAUAAAAAUGAAUCAAUUCCUUAUCGAAGCGCUACUGAGGAUGAGUCAUUUUAAACAAUUUAAAUUAUAUUGUUGUUAUACUAAAAUUGCUAACAUUAUAGCAAUUAUUAUAUUAUGGAUAAAAACUGGUAAAAUCCUGGCCAGAAAGGGACAACAGACUAUUCACUUGUUUCAGAUAAGAUACGGCCAUAUAAAUAAACAUACAUAAAUAGACAAUUACUUUGGCCCUUGCUGAUAAAUUACUCACUGGACAGAACGGCACCUUGGCGUCUGCUGGUGCAGCAAUAUCCGCAGCAACUCAUGAUGAGGAAGGGAAUGCACUGCCUAUUUAUCGGAUUUAUCCGCUUUUUGGCAGCACCCGUAUAAUUCACUUAAAUAUCAGUGAACUACUCUACCGGAAGGUCGUUAUUGAAGCCCGAUUGGAAUUAACUAUAUCUUAUCAGCGUUAAUCUGAAAGUAAUACAAUUUAUCAUGAUGAUAAUGGGUGCACGUUAUGCAGCACUGACUGCGCUGGCUAUGUUUAGUGAGCAGUCGAUGUAAAGCGGCGAUAGCUAGCGCACUCAACACAGCAAUCGAUAAUUCAAACAUAACAUCUGAUUUAAUUGUGUUUAAAACUUUAUUGCAAGGUAUAUAAUGGCUCAUAAUUUUAUUUAUUUGCGUUCCAAAUAUUUACUAAAUUGAGUUUGUUAUACUAAGCUUGUAUAUUUUGUAUAGAUAUUUUUUAAAACAUUACAAUUUAUCAUAAUGAUGACGUUAUGCAGCACUGACUGCUGAGUUUAGUGAGUAGUCGAUGCAAGCCAACGAUAGCUAUCGAACUCAACAAAGCAAUCGAUACUAUUGGAAUAGAAAAUAUAAGAAUUAAUUAAUUCAAA